RNAcentral lists this ribosomal RNA (622 nucleotides) under Streptomyces vinaceus. RNAcentral's name for it is "bacterial SSU rRNA". It matches the Rfam family "Bacterial small subunit ribosomal RNA", at positions 179 to 815 of the family's 1533-position model. The record is from RNAcentral. Lineage: Bacteria; Bacillati; Actinomycetota; Actinomycetes; Kitasatosporales; Streptomycetaceae.
CUCCUGCCUGCAUGGGCGGGGGUUGAAAGCUCCGGCGGUGAAGGAUGAGCCCGCGGCCUAUCAGCUUGUUGGUGGGGUAAUGGCCCACCAAGGCGACGACGGGUAGCCGGCCUGAGAGGGCGACCGGCCACACUGGGACUGAGACACGGCCCAGACUCCUACGGGAGGCAGCAGUGGGGAAUAUUGCACAAUGGGCGAAAGCCUGAUGCAGCGACGCCGCGUGAGGGAUGACGGCCUUCGGGUUGUAAACCUCUUUCAGCAGGGAAGAAGCGAAAGUGACGGUACCUGCAGAAGAAGCGCCGGCUAACUACGUGCCAGCAGCCGCGGUAAUACGUAGGGCGCAAGCGUUGUCCGGAAUUAUUGGGCGUAAAGAGCUCGUAGGCGGCUUGUCACGUCGGAUGUGAAAGCCCGAGGCUUAACCUCGGGUCUGCAUUCGAUACGGGCUAGCUAGAGUGUGGUAGGGGAGAUCGGAAUUCCUGGUGUAGCGGUGAAAUGCGCAGAUAUCAGGAGGAACACCGGUGGCGAAGGCGGAUCUCUGGGCCAUUACUGACGCUGAGGAGCGAAAGCGUGGGGAGCGAACAGGAUUAGAUACCCUGGUAGUCCACGCCGUAAACGUUGGGAA